AUUGAACGCUGGCGGCAUGCCUUACACAUGCAAAUCGAACGGUAACGGGCCUUCGGGUGCCGACGAGUGGCGAACGGGUGAGUAAUACAUCGGAACGUGCCCGAUCGUGGGGGAUAACGAGGCGAAAGCUUUGCUAAUACCUCAUACGAUCUACGAAUGAAAGCAGGGGACCGCAAGGCCUUGCGCGGACGGAGCGGCCGAUGGCAGAUUAGUUAGUUGGUGGGAUAAAAGCUUACCAAGCCGACGAUCUGUAGCUGGUCUGAGAGGAUGAUCAGCCACACUGGGACUGAGACACGGCCCAGACUCCUACGGGAGGCAGCAGUGGGGAAUUUUGGACAAUGGGCGCAAGCCUGAUCCAGCAAUGCCGCGUGAAGGAUGAAGGCCUUCGGGUUGUAAACUGAUUUUGUACGGAAAGAAAAGCCUUCUUUUAAUACAGGAGGGUCAUGACGGUACCGUAAGAAUAAGCACCGGCUAACUACGUG
Molecule: ribosomal RNA, 482 nt
Filed under: uncultured bacterium
Lineage: Bacteria
Description: partial 16S ribosomal RNA
Rfam family: Bacterial small subunit ribosomal RNA
Source: RNAcentral